CUUUUUUAAUUCAGACUAAUGAAGAGUGUCGAGAUAUCUUUUAAUAUUUUGUCUAUAGAUACAAAACAUUUUUAUUGCAGGUGGAACUAAGAUUUUUUUUUCUUUUUAUUGAGUUUAUUGGUACAAUCUAGGUACACAGUACAGUUACAUUCAUUACUGGGAUCCUGUACCUUCACAUGACAGGUCUUGGUUCUCAUUGUUUCCCCUUGUCCCUGCCCUCCCUUCACCCCCUCCCCCCUCCCCAUUUACAAACAAUUUAUUUCCAUUUUUUCAUUUUCUCUUACUUUUUGGAACUAAGAUUUUAUAUUAAAUAUUUCAAUGGUAAACUCAAAGGUGUUAAGAACUUUUUAACUUAAAUGAAAAAUGAUUUCACUAAAUAGUUCUAUUUAGAAAAUAAAAACAUUGCUUUCUCAUACUUCUCAAAGAAACAAUCUAAAAACCAUGGCAACCCAUGAUCAGUUAGACUCUACCGCACAUGCCCAUGAUAGUCUCCCAGUUCCUUUUUGAGUCUGCAUAACUGCUUGGAGAUUUGGUUAAAUGUUAUGGAUAAAAAUUCAUUUAAGAGGAAUAACAACCAAAUACCAUGUGAAGAACUGAGGAGAUUCAUACUCAGACCAAAUCAUUGUAAGAAAAACAUUUGAGUCACUUAGAGAUUUCUUAAGAAUUAGGUAGGUUUUGAAUAAUGUUUGUGAUCAUUAAAUUUUUUCCUUAGGUAUGAAAUUUUAUUGUGUGGCACCACGUCCGUGUCUGUGGAAACUUUGCUGCUGGAGAUGAUGUGCUGGCCCCUGCCCCUGCCUGGCGUGGUGUGGACACGAGGGACGCUGAUGUGGGACUGCUGAGCCCUGGGACUGAGGGACUGAGCCCUGGGUGGGGUCCUGGGGUACGGUAAUCCCUGUGCCUCGGCCUACACCAGGCUUCAGUCCAUCCACAACCACGCUUUGCUUCCCCGUGGCAAAGGUGCAAAAAGGCCCAGGUUAAUGGACGUGUUUCUCUUGGUUAGCAGGGGAGCAUUGAGAGGAAUCAAGCAUCGCUUCAGGGAAAUUCAAGUCCCUGAAUCCAGGGACCCAGAAGAGGCUGCUCCUGUCCUUCCAGUGACGCCAGAGGGCCACUGCAGGCCCUCACCCUCCAGAUGGUCAGUCAUCCCCAUGGCAUUGUCGCCACCUCGUGGCCAUUCCGUGGCCCACACCAGGCAUACCCGCUAUCCUGCAAGAGCCUGCCUGAGGAGGCUGUGGCAGGAACAUCUGCUCUGUUUUGAUCAACUUCUGAAUGUGGGCACAGUCUCUGCUGAAGGACAGGAACCUAAUUCCGGUAAGGGCAGGUGAGUUUCACAAGGACCAACACUUCUCUCCACUUUUGCUUUUUGUGAUGUUUUUACCUCCCUGACUCUUGCCAGCUGCUCCCUACCCCCCAUUCACUACUUGGACGCCUCAGUUAUGUAGGGCCAUUGUUAAAUAAAGCCCAUUUUCACUGCUUUGACUUGUGCCUGGCUGGUUUAUCUUUGACAUACUAGAAAAAGCCACACUUAUUUGUUUCCUCUGUUCCUGUCUGGAAUGUAUUUAUAAAAAGAAAAAUGUACAAACGCGGACUCUCAUUGCCUCUUUAAUGUAAACGGCCAGUGUCACAUGUUCCUCUGCCUGCUGUUUUCUCACCUGGUUUGUGAGAAUGCAAGCACAUGCUGCACUCAAUGAGAGCAAGGACCACAGCUGCAUUGGUGCUUC
This is a long non-coding RNA of Fukomys damarensis (Damara mole-rat), 1718 nucleotides long. The record is from Ensembl. Lineage: Eukaryota; Metazoa; Chordata; Mammalia; Rodentia; Bathyergidae.